This 484-nucleotide ribosomal RNA is filed under the name uncultured bacterium. RNAcentral's name for it is "partial 16S ribosomal RNA". It matches the Rfam family "Bacterial small subunit ribosomal RNA", at positions 28 to 507 of the family's 1533-position model. The record is from RNAcentral.
GAUGAACGCUGGCGGCGUGCCUAACACAUGCAAGUCGAACGGAAAGGCGCCUUUGGGGGUACUCGAGUGGCGAACGGGUGAGUAAGACGUGAGUAAGCUGCCCUUGACUUCGGGAUAACUUCAGGAAACUGGGGCUAAUACCGGUACGGAAUCAUUGUUGCAUGGGGGGGGUUCGAAAGCUUCGGCGGGUUUGGCUGGCCUUGCGGGUUAUCAGCUUGCUGGUGGGGUAGUGGCUUAACAAGGCGGUGAUGGCUAGCCGAUAUGAGAGGGCGACCGGGCACACUGGGACCGAGACACGGCACAGACUCCUACGGGCGGCCGCAGUGGGGAAGGUUGGCAGCUGGGCGGAAGACUGCACGAGCGACGCCGCGUGGAUGAUGCAGGGCUUCGGGUGGUAUAACGCUCUUCUGGUGGAAGACCGCUUUCAUCAGGAGCGAAGCUUGUCGUGACGGUACCUUAAGAAGAAGCACCGGCUAACUACGUG